This 69-nucleotide transfer RNA is filed under the name Eupsophus emiliopugini. Its description in RNAcentral is "tRNA-Arg". It matches the Rfam family "tRNA". Rfam says of the family: Transfer RNA (tRNA) molecules are approximately 80 nucleotides in length. Their secondary structure includes four short double-helical elements and three loops (D, anti-codon, and T loops). The record is from RNAcentral. RNAcentral also lists the same sequence under 1 other name. Lineage: Eukaryota; Metazoa; Chordata; Amphibia; Anura; Alsodidae.
GAGAUAUUAGUCUAAAUAAGACAGCUGAUUUCGACUCAGCUAACCAUGGUUUAAACCCAUGAUACCUCU